AAUACAUGCAAGUCGAGCGGGAUUGGCAGCAAUGCCAUGAGAGCGGCGCACGGGUGAGUAACGCGUACACGACCUACCUCUAACAGGGGGAUAGCCCUGGGAAACUGGGAUUAAUACCGCAUAUAAUUCUGAUAUAUAAAUGAUCGGAAUGAAAGCUCAGGCGGUUAGAGAUGGGUGUGCGUCUGAUUAGCUAGUUGGUGAGGUAACGGCUCACCAAGGCGAUGAUCAGUAGGGGGCGUGAGAGCGUGGACCCCCACACGGGUACUGAGACACGGACCCGACUCCUACGGGAGGCAGCAGUAAGGAAUAUUGGACAAUGGCCGCAAGGCUGAUCCAGCCAUCCAGCGUGCAGGAAGAAGGCCCUACGGGUUGUAAACUGCUUUUGUCAGGGAAGAAACCCUUGGAUUGACUCCGAGCUGACGGUACCUGAAGAAUAAGCACCGGCUAACUCCGUGCCAGCAGCCGCGGUAAUACGGAGGGUGCGAGCGUUAUCCGGAAUUACUGGGUUUAAA
RNAcentral lists this ribosomal RNA (512 nucleotides) under uncultured bacterium. RNAcentral describes it as "bacterial SSU rRNA". It matches the Rfam family "Bacterial small subunit ribosomal RNA", at positions 50 to 564 of the family's 1533-position model. The record is from RNAcentral.